AAGAAUAAAGCAGAUAAGUAACAGGUGGGAUAUUUACCUCGGUAGAAAAUAUUUCCUGUGUUGUUCCUAAGUACUGGAUAAGGAAUAUAAACAGCUACCAAAGAAAAACUGCUGUGAUUUGCUGGUGGAAAUGGUGAAGAACUGGAUUCAAGCAACGUUUUUCCAGAAAAACUAGAAACAUCCUUUUGUCAGCAAUAAAUCGAACACGUUCAUACCAAAAAUCUGCCGUACUUGUUCCAAAUCACCGGACUAUUGAACCAAGGUGUAAAUAAAAACGUAUCUAUUGCAUUACGUUUAAUACAAGUCGAAAGAAAUUUGCUAUUAAAUUAUACUUACCACUGUCAGCUUGAAUUAAGUUUAGGAUCCUGAAAGAAAUCAACAUUAAUAACAAUGCCCAUCAUAUUUCAAGGGAAAUCUAAAAGUGAGGAUUUAUAAUCUGAAUAAGUGCUAAAACAUGCGUGGACAUAUAAAACAAAACUCACUAAUAUAACAUCUGCUGAACUCAAAAAGUAAAAGAAAUUGCAAUGCUUAAAAAUAUCAACAAAAAGAUGUGCGUAUAUAUUACGUGUACACAGGUAUAUCUUCAAAUAUAGAUAUACGUAUACGUUAUAUUCAAGGAUCUUUUUAAAAUAUUCCCAUCUGUAAACUGGACGGCGAGAAGUGAAGAGGCAAAUAUCUUAAUUCCUCUAAGAACAACGUAAGUUGGAUCAACUGUUUUGCCAAUUUCGCUCGUGCCUCUUUAGAUUCAAAUACAUAUAGAAGGAUACUCUGGAGCCAUGAUAUCUAAAUUCAGAACGUUUGGAUCAAAGUUAUUUUCUUCACUAAAGGAAUCUGUCACCUGAAAUAUAAUUCACGGUUGAAGGUACUUAAUAACUUACAACCAUACCAAAAGCUAAUAUGUUAUAAAUAUUACUUGUGACAAUGUAACGCUUUCAAACAAGCAACUUCACUUUACACAGAUAUUCAAUAAUUGAAAAAAAAAACAAUUGUGACGGUGAAGUUGUACACAACCAUAAGCCUUCCAUUGGCAUCUUCGACAAUGAAUCCGAAUGGAAGCAAUAACUCUCUCGCAAAUAUACAAGCGGCUGGGACACCAUUCACUUGGACACACUGGGUAGUAGCACUUAUAUUAAGCUUUACCAUCAUUGGUACCAUAAUAGGCAAUUCGUUAGUAUGCAUUGCUGUUUUUAUGGUAAAAAAAUUACAGACACCAUCUAAUUUUCUUAUUGUUUCACUCGCUGUGUCAGACUUAUUUGUAGCACUAUUCGUAAUGCCUCUAGCGCUGCUUUAUGAACUUACGAAAGAGUGGCGUCUCGGUGACGAACUUUGUGAUGCUUGGACAUCUUUGGAUGUCAUGCUUUGUACAGCAUCAAUUCUGAACUUGUGCAUUAUCAGUGUCGACCGUUAUUGUGUUAUUACUCGGCCGCUUACGUAUGCAAUAAAACGAACACCAAAACGGAUUGCAUGGCUCAUUACUCUGGUAUGGCUACUCUCUGCCUUGAUAUCUAUUCCUCCGUUAAUUGGAUGGAAAACAGUGCGGAACCCGUUGGAAUGUGGCUACAGCCAGGAACUUGGUUAUCAAAUAUAUGCUACUGUCGGAGCAUUUUAUCUACCUUGUACAAUUAUGAUCAUAGUCUAUUAUAGAAUAUGGAAAGUAUCUGAUCGAAUUAGUCGUGCAGAGACUAAGUCUCACAGAGGAACCCUAGAGCCCUCUACUCCGUAUUCAAAUCGUCCCAAAUCCUCUAGCGGUAGUUGUGAUACGCAUUUAUUCCCUAACGGUUCGGUUCAUUCUGGUAAAGAAGAGGAUAAUGAAAUACUGCCCCGUCGAGAAAGGAGAUUUACUCUCAGAACUUUACUGACGAAAAAAACUAAAAUGACAUGCUCAAAGGAAACGAAAGCAACUAAAACACUUGGAGUUAUCAUGGGGGGCUUCAUUGCUUGCUGGCUACCUUUCUUUAUCUUGGCUCUUGUUAACCCGGUCUGUAAUACCCUCAAACUGAAGUGCCCAGUACAUCCGGUGGUGUCUAGUAUAUUCCUUUGGCUAGGCUAUUUCAAUUCUUUCAUGAAUCCUUUAAUAUAUGCCCGUUUUAACCAAGAAUUCCGGAGACCAUUUAGAGAAAUAUUAUGCUUUCGAUGUCGUGGUAUGAAUAUGCGCUUAAGAACGGAGAGUUAUGCAGCACAGUAUGGACCCGAUCCGCAAAUAAAUGCGACAAAUCGAUGCAGCCUUCGUAUUCCAAAUGAUUCAAUUGUGCGAUAUAACAGUCAAGGACAAACAUUAGUACAUGUUGGUAACGGGUCUACAGCAUCUGAUGGGGAAUCAAAGUUAUAAUUGCACUAAUACAAAAAGUGUAUUACAGUUCAUAUAACAUGCAGCAUAUAGUAUGGAGUAUUAUAUGACAUUUUAGCGCAUUUCAUAGGUAGAAAACAUUAUUGAAACCUAUGUAAGAAUGCCUUGUAAAACAAAAAAUAAAAACAAUAAGCAAAAGAGAAAAAUGAAUAAAAACUCCAACCACUGAAAGUAAAUUUGCAUUUUAC
This 2535-nucleotide unclassified non-coding RNA is filed under the name Octopus sinensis (East Asian common octopus). RNAcentral's name for it is "5-hydroxytryptamine receptor 1, transcript variant X3". Lineage: Eukaryota; Metazoa; Mollusca; Cephalopoda; Octopoda; Octopodidae. The record is from RNAcentral.